CAGCUAUCAUUCUCAUGGGAUUAUUCUCACUGGGAAGUUCUGUCAGUGCAGGAUGUCGGGGAGGCCUGUUCAUGUGUGCAAUCAACAGCUUAACUUGCAGAAUAAAGGUACAACUGUUUGGGUCCCUUGUCAGGCAGGACAUUGGCUUCUUUGAGACCAUCAAGACAGGUGAUAUCACAUCUAGACUCUC
This is a long non-coding RNA of Sinocyclocheilus rhinocerous, 190 nucleotides long. RefSeq lists it as uncharacterized. The transcript is spliced from 3 exons. The record is from RefSeq and is a predicted model, not a curated record. Lineage: Eukaryota; Metazoa; Chordata; Actinopteri; Cypriniformes; Cyprinidae.